GAACCCGAAUAUCUGAUAUGAGAAAUUCAAUAUUAUUUAAUAUGAUUCAUUUUUGAAAUUAUAUUAAAUAGUAUGCACUUUUCUCAUAGUAAGACAUUGUAAUCCAUUGAUAUUAUAUCUUUAUUUGUUUAAAGAUGAUUUAACAUACGGACAAAAUGUAUAUGAUUAUUCUAUUAAUGAUAUGUUUUACAUGUCAUAUGAAUAAAAUCGUUUUGUACCUGUUUAAAUAGUCGAUGGAUUUUUUAAUUAAAAUCAUGCUUGCAAUUUAUUUUGCGUUUCGUAUCAUUAAUUUUUAAUUGAUGAUAGCAGAAAUGGCAUGUAUUUGAUUAACAAUGCGAUAGAUUUGGGAUGCCUUCGGGACCCGUCUUGAAACACGGACCAAGGAGUCUAACAUAUGUGCAAGUCAUUGAGUAUUUUGUUGAAACUUAAUGGCGUAAUUAAAAUGACUAUAAUUUUUAAUUUGGGAUCAAAAGUAAUGUUCAAAUUUAUGUAUUAUUUUUCAAUCCCGGGGCGUUCUAUACGAACAUGAUAUAAGCAAUUAUGUCCUCUGUUCAAGAGCGUACCUUGAGCACAUAUGCUGUGACCCGAAAGAUGGU
RNAcentral lists this ribosomal RNA (596 nucleotides) under Stefaniola sp. 5 JOS-2019. RNAcentral describes it as "partial large subunit ribosomal RNA". The stretch from base 378 to 596 matches the Rfam family "Eukaryotic large subunit ribosomal RNA", at positions 665 to 827 of the family's 3401-position model. Lineage: Eukaryota; Metazoa; Arthropoda; Insecta; Diptera; Cecidomyiidae. The record is from RNAcentral.